CACGUAGGGGGCAAGCGUUGUCCGGAUUUAUUGGGCGUAAAGAGCUCGUAGGUGGUUCGGUAAGUCGGGUGUUAAACCCCCAGGCUCAACCUGGGGACGCCACUCGAUACUGCUGUGACUAGAGUCCGGUAGGGGAGCGUGGAAUUCCUGGUGUAGCGGUGAAAUGCGCAGAUAUCAGGAAGAACACCCGUGGCUAAGGCGGUUCUCUAGUACGGUACUGACGCUGAGACGCGAAAGCGUGGGGAGCGAACAGG
RNAcentral lists this ribosomal RNA (254 nucleotides) under uncultured bacterium. RNAcentral's name for it is "partial 16S ribosomal RNA". It matches the Rfam family "Bacterial small subunit ribosomal RNA", at positions 524 to 776 of the family's 1533-position model. The record is from RNAcentral.